UCGGGGACCCCAUGUAAUGAUCAAUUUUAAGUAUCCCAAACAACAUAAACCCUUCUUUUCUACAUAUACAAGAUCUCCACAUUCAAUUAAAUCAAAAUAAAUUGAUAAAAAAAAUUAAAUCAAAAUAAAAACACAACAUAAACUAUUCUUAAAAUUUAGAUCCAAAAAGCACCCAUAAUUGACAAAAUAGCCAAGUUUUAACUCCAUAUUCAAGAUCUUAAAAACAAAAGCUAGAUCUCGCGAUGGUUGUGCUGAACCAAAAAGGGAGAAGUGAAAAAGGAACAACGAGAACGGGGGAGACAAAGGAAAUGGGUUUGGCAGUGAAGUUGAAUUUGGGGCUCAUGUCGCACUUGAGAUGUUUGGAGGCAGUGCAAGAAGAGGGUUAGGAUUACGCUUAUGCAAAUACAUGGGUCUGAUUCCUUCUUCUCCGUCAGAUUUGCGACUAAGGUUCACUAGCUUUGCAUCUUCCUCUUCAACGACUUUACGAUCCGCCCAGAGAAUGCACUUGCCCUUCAUGUUUUGCGGCGCCCUCACAGUUGCAUGCCCCUCUGCUACAGUCACCCUUGCUUGGCCAGGGCCCGACGCCGGCAGCCCGCUAUAGUUGACGCCGAACAUGCUCACCAACAACCAUAUCUAUAAUUUUAUUGUUGGGACAAGGGGAGAUAGAUAUUAAUUUAUUUUAUAAUAUGUGUUAUAAUAAUUCACUUAUUUAUUUUUCUAUUACACAUAUUAUUCAUUUUUUUUUCUUGCUUGAAUUAAUUCUAGUAAUGUUUAGACUGCCCGAAAGUGUAAUUUAAAUUUUGAAAUUAAU
RNAcentral lists this long non-coding RNA (811 nucleotides) under Glycine max (soybean). RNAcentral's name for it is "long non-coding RNA (GMAX_LNC001804)". The record is from RNAcentral. Lineage: Eukaryota; Viridiplantae; Streptophyta; Magnoliopsida; Fabales; Fabaceae.